UCCAGACUCCUACGGGAGGCAGCAGUGGGGAAUAUUGGGCAAUGGGCGCAAGCCUGACCCAGCAACGCCGCGUGAAGGAAGAAGGCUUUCGGGUUGUAAACUUCUUUUCUGGGGGACGAUAAUGACGGUACCUGUCAAGAAAGCCACGGCUAACUACGUGCCAGCAGCCGCGGUAAUACGUAGGUGGCGAGCGUUGUCCGGAAUUACUGGGUGUAAAGGGAGUGUAGGCGGGAAGGCAAGUCAGAAGUGAAAAUUAUGGGCUCAACCCAUAACCUGCUUUUGAAACUGUUUUUCUUGAGUGAAGCAGAGGCAAGCGGAAUUCCUAGUGUAGCGGUGAAAUGCGUAGAUAUUAGGAGGAACACCAGUGGCGAAGGCGGCUUGCUGGGCUUUUACUGACGCUGAGGCUCGAAAGCGUGGGGAGCAAACAGGAUUAGAUACCCUGGUAA
RNAcentral lists this ribosomal RNA (446 nucleotides) under uncultured bacterium. Its description in RNAcentral is "bacterial SSU rRNA". It matches the Rfam family "Bacterial small subunit ribosomal RNA", at positions 330 to 793 of the family's 1533-position model. The record is from RNAcentral.